ACCUUUCCUCCUGGCCUGGGAUUCAGUGGAAGAAAUUGUUCAUGAUACAAUUACUAGGAACCUACAAGCUUUUUAUAACAUGCUACGCUCAUAUGACCUUGGAGACACAGGGCGCAUUGGCCGAAAUAAUUUCAAGAAAAUCAUGCACGUCUUCUGUCCAUUUUUAACGAAUGCACAUUUCAUAAAACUCUGCAGUAAGAUUCAGGACAUUGGUUCAGGAAGAAUCCUUUACAAGAAACUUUUGGCACGCAUAGGAAUUGAUGGCCCACCCACUGUCUCUCCAGUUCUUGUUCCAAAGGAUCAGCUGUUACAUGAACAUUUACAAAAAGAUGAACAGCAGCAGCCAGAUCUUUCUGAGAGAACCAAGCUCACGGAGGAUAAAACCACCCUGACCGAGAAGAUGACCACAGAAGAAGUGAUUGAAAAAUUCAAAAAGUGUAUACAGCAGCAGGACCCGGCAUUCAAAAAACGAUUUCUUGACUUCAGCAAGGAGCCUAAUGGAAAAAUUAACGUGCAUGACUUUAAGAAGGUACUGGAAGACACUGGGAUGCCCAUGGACGAUGAUCAGUAUGCCCUGCUGACCACUAAAAUAGGCUUCGAGAAGGAAGGGAUGAGCUAUCUUGAUUUUUCAGCAGGAUUUGAAGAUCCUCCAAUGAGAGGGCCGGAAACCACUCCGCCGCAGCCUCCAACUCCUUCAAAAAGUUACGUGAACAGCCACUUUAUCACCGCAGAAGAAUGCCUGAAGCUUUUCCCCAGGAGGCUGAAGGAGUCAUUCCGGGACCCCUACUCUGCCUUCUUUAAAACAGAUGCUGACAGGGAUGGCAUAAUCAACAUGCAUGACCUUCACAGACUGCUCCUGCAUCUACUGCUUAAUCUCAAAGACGACGAGUUUGAGCGCUUCCUUGGCCUUCUUGGCUUGAGACUUAGUGUCACUUUAAAUUUUCGGGAAUUUCAAAAUUUGUGUGAGAAGAGACCAUGGAGAACAGAUGAAGCGCCUCAAAGACUCAUUAGAAUUUUCUAGAAACCGAUAAUGAGGGCAAUGGCAUUCUUCGACGCCGGGACAUAAAGAACGCACUGUACGGUUUUGAUAUUCCCCUCACACCAAGAGAGUUUGAAAAGCUUUGGGCAAGAUACGACACCGAGGGAAAAGGGCACAUUACUUACCAGGAAUUUUUACAGAAAUUGGGUAUUAACUAUUCGCCUGCUGUCCAUCGGCCCUGUGCAGAGGAUUAUUUCAACCUCAUGGGUCAUUUUACAAAGCCACAGCAGCUACAGGAAGAGAUGAAGGAGCUGCAGCAGAGCACAGAGAAGGCUGUGGCAGCCAGGGAUAAGCUUAUGGACCGCCAUCAAGAUAUCAGCAAAGCAUUCACCAAAACUGAUCAAUCCAAAACCAACUACAUAUCCAUAUGCAAGAUGCAGGAAGUGCUGGAAGAAUGUGGCUGUUCUCUUACCGAAGGGGAGCUGACCCGUCUGCUAAACAGUUGGGGAGUCAGCCGGCAUGAUAAUGCUAUCAAUUACCUCGACUUCCUGAGAGCAGUGGAGAACAGCAAGUCAACAGGAGCUCAGCCCAAGGAAAAAGAAGAGAGCAUGCCAAUCAGUUUUGCAACGCUGAAUCCACAGGAGGUUGUGAGGAAGAUCCAAGAAGUAGUUGAGUCCUCCCAGCUGGCUUUGUCCACGGCAUUUUCUGCAUUGGAUAAAGAGGAUACAGGAUUUGUAAAGGCUACAGAAUUCGGACAAGUUCUUAAGGAUUUCUGUUACAAACUAACGGACAAUCAGUAUCAUUAUUUUUUGAGGAAACUAAGAAUUCAUCUAACCCCCUGUAUAAAUUGGAAAUAUUUUCUCCAGAACUUUAGCUGUUUCCUUGAGGAGACAGCUGAUGAGUGGGCUGAGAAAAUGCCCAAAGGCCCGCCGCCUACCUCUCCCAAGGCCACAGCCGACAGAGACAUCCUGGCUCGCCUCCACAAAGCAGUGACUUCCCAUUACCAUGCCAUCACCCAGGAGUUUGAGAAUUUUGACACCAUGAAAACGAACACCAUCUCCAGAGAGGAGUUUAGGGCCAUUUGUAAUCGCCACGUCCAAAUCCUGACGGACGAACAGGUAAGAAACGCAAGUCAGUCCUCACCCUGCACACCGUCAGCUGAGCGUCAGCCCAGUCCCUGGCCAGAAGGUACAGAGUUUAAGACUGUUCUCUAUUUUUAAAAUGCUUGCAGUUUUGUUAUUUUGUUUUUCAAUCUUCCUGAAGAUUCACAGGAAUCUUCUGUUUAUGUAACAACUAUGAAUUACACCAUUUUCAUCAGGGUACAAAUACUGUCACUGUUGCCUUUCAAAUCAAAUCCAACUCCGCUUCGGCUCCCACACUCCUUCUCCCUUCCCUGGAGCAUCCCGGAGGUAAUGUGGUCUGGGUCUGUCAUGGGCAGCAACUAUCUGGGGCCAGUGUUGUGCAGGCAGUAAAAAGAGUGUACCAAGACAGUUGUAGGUAAAAAAGGCAGAUGUAUUAGAAAAAGUAUGAAAAUAUGUUGCAAGAGUGCAAGGGGCAAGUCAGCAAGAGAAAAGCUGACUGCAAAGAGACAAAGGUUUGCUGGAGAUUUUAUAGGAUGGUGCUUGUGCUGGGUGCUGAAGAAGGCUUUGUGCAGUACUGGAAACACCAAGGUUGCAGUGAGCUACCUUGCGUUUUUCUACGAGCCGGGGGUCUGGUGAUAGCUGGGCGCAGGAUGGUUGUUAUUUGUGCAGGAGGACUAUGUGUUCUGGACCAUGAACAAAGGCAGACUUAGCGGCUUACCUGCUUUUUCAUUUUGCUUUCCUCUGUUCCCACCAGCCUGAUUCCUUUCCCCUGAUUAGGACUCCACAUGGUCCAAAGAGGGUGGGCAGUCGGUCCCCACGCCUGGAGGGUCACAGACCCUGGCGGGAGGCUGGCGUUCCUCCCGCCACCUCAACCUGCCUUCUCCUUGCUACUACCUGGUGCUGCCACUGGCAGUGUGGGAUGCUCCGGGCUGCUGCUCUAAGCAUGCUGGGUACAUGCCACCCCUGGCGGGCCUCUCCACUGUGCACAGGCUGGACACAGGCCCUGCCUCUCUAAGAUCCUCCUCCCUAUCACAGAAUCCCCAGAAGGAGGUUCUUCCCAGCCUCCUCCCCUAAGGACUGGACUGAGCUCUUCUGUGGCUCAAAGGCUCCAACAACCUGCUCCCCUGCGCCGCUAUGGCCCUUCAUGGCCUUCCAAGGCCAAGAGCACCUCCCAGUGGGGUGGCGUCCUCAGAGUCUGCCUUGCCAUGGCAGCUGUAGGAGGGAAGAGAGCACCUGCCCAGCCUGCCUCCCGUCCAUAGUCACACCGAACACCAGCACCAGGGGAGCAGUGCCCCAGGUUGCUUUGUUCCUCGCUGUGCCCUAAAUGCCAAAGCAGUGCAGGGCACUGAGUGGGUGCUCAGUACGUGCUGCUGAAUGGACAGCGUCCACACUCCCCAGCCCUUCACUAUCCUCGGCAGCCCCGUGGCUGAUCAGCCAAGUAACACAGAGCACCACUGAUCCAGUUACAGAAGUAGAUUUCCCUUCACUCAGAAAAUGCACAGCUACAAGCCGUCUCUAGUUCUCAAAUGCAUCAAUGUCCCAUUCCCAGAGAAUAAUUCAGAUUAAAACAUAAAAUCCCCAAAUACUUAACAAAGCAACUCUGCCUCCCUCCUUCCUCCUGGUUCUGCUCAGUCUCAGCCCAGGGAGUUCCCUGCAGACACUGCGUGGAAAUGUCACUCUUUCGCCUCCAAAACUGGGCCAUUACAACCUCUUGUCUCAUUUUGUCAGAGUUGCAGGGUAAGGCCUUGGAAGUAUUCAUAGGGAAGCGUGAUCAUCGCAGUCACCCCUGGCUCUACUCACAGCUCUGAACUCACUGCCCCAAGAAUGCAUGCCGUAAAGACAUUAAGAAUGUGACUAUCAGGUUUAACAUUCCUAAAAUAUCACCUUUCUCAAGCAUUUUGGUGUGAUCAUUUUUGCUAAGCAAAAUUAAAUGCUGUUUCCAAAUGAUCCUGCCCCAUCGCACGUCAAAGCUGAGCAAGCUCUGUAUUUGCAAAUACUCCUCUUAGCAUAAAUGAAAAUAAGCCUUUGAAAUUAAUACAGUUGCAUUUAUUAUUCUAUGGGGCCAAGUAAUCAAGGUUUUCCUAAUAAAGAUUUUUUUUAUUUCACCUAAAUGAGUAAAAUUUUACUCUAAUUAUAGAUGGAAAUUAAUGACAUGCUGACAUAUCUGGCAUUCAUCACAGAGAAUUCAAUUUUAAUUGUCCACUAAGAAAACUUCACCAUCCUCAGCACAUCGAGCCCCUUCCCUAACCAAAUUAAACACUUAUUUUUAAACGCGGUUUUCUAAAAAUAAGCUGACGUGUCUCUUACAUGCAGCCAACAAACAUAUGAAAAAAAGCUCAACAUCACUGAGCAUUAGAGAAAUGCAAAUUAAAACCACAGUGAGAUACCAUCUCACGCCAGUCAGAAUGGCUACUAUUUAAAAGUCAAAAAACAACAGAUGCUGGUGAGGUUACAGAGAAAAAGGAAUGCCUCUACACUGUUGGUAGAAGUUGGGAGUGUCAGUUAGUUUAGCCAUUGUGGAUGACACUGUGGUGAUUUCUCAAAGACCUAGAGGCAGUAAUACCAUAUGACCAAGCCAUCCCAUUACUGGGUAUAUGCCCCAAGGAAUAUAAAUCAUUCUAUUAUAAAGAUACACACACGUAUGUACAUUGCAGCACUUUUCACAAUAGCAGACAAGGAAAAAACCUAAAUGCCCAUCAGUGAUAGGCUGGAUAAAGAAAAUGUGGUACAUCUACACCGUGGAAUACUAUGCAGCCAUAAAAAGGAAUGAGAGGCCAGGCACAGCGGUUCACGCCUGUAAUCCCAGCAUUUUGGGAGGCUGAGGUGGGUAGAUCACGAGGUCAGGGUUUCAAGACCAGCCUAGCCAAUAUGGUGAAACCCCGUCUCUACUACUAAAAAUGCAAAAAAAUUAGCUGGGCACAGUGGCACGCAUCUGUAGUCCCAGCUGCUCAGGAGGCUGAAGCAGGAGAAUCACGUAAACCUGGGAGGCAGAGGUUGCAGUGAGCCGAGAUCACACCACUGCAUUCCAGCCUGAGCAAAAGAGCAAGACUCUGUCUC
Molecule: small RNA, 5118 nt
Filed under: Pan troglodytes (chimpanzee)
Lineage: Eukaryota; Metazoa; Chordata; Mammalia; Primates; Hominidae
Description: retained intron
Source: RNAcentral